RNAcentral lists this ribosomal RNA (253 nucleotides) under uncultured microorganism. Its description in RNAcentral is "partial 16S ribosomal RNA". It matches the Rfam family "Bacterial small subunit ribosomal RNA", at positions 524 to 776 of the family's 1533-position model. The record is from RNAcentral.
UACGUAGGGUGCGAGCGUUAAUCGGAUUUACUGGGCGUAAAGCGUGCGCAGGCGGCCUGUUAAGACAGGUGUGAAAUCCCUGGGCUCAACCUAGGAAUUGCGCUUGUGACUGGAGGGCUUGAGUACGGUAGAGGGGGGUGGAAUUCCUGGUGUAGCAGUGAAAUGCGUAGAGAUCAGGAGGAACACCGAUGGCGAAGGCAGCUCCCUGGGCCUGUACUGACGCUCAUGCACGAAAGCGUGGGGAGCAAACAGG